GACGAACGCUGGCGGCGUGCUUAACACAUGCAAGUCGAACGGAAAGGCCCUGCUUUUGUGGGUUGCUCGAGUGGCGAACGGGUGAUUAACACGUGAGUAACCUGCCCUUGACUUUGUGAUAACUUCAGGAAACUGGGGCUCAUACCGGAUAGGAGCUCCUGCUGCAUGGUGGGGGUUGGAAAGUUUCGGCGGUUGGGGAUGGACUCGCGGCUUAUCAGCUUGUUGGUGGGGUAGUGGCUUACCAAGGCUUUGACGGGUAGCCGGCCUGAGAGGGUGACCGGCCACAUUGGGACUGAGAUACGGCCCAGACUCCUACGGGAGGCAGCAGUGGGGAAUAUUGCACAAUGGGCGGAAGCCUGAUGCAGCAACGCCGCGUGCGGGAUGACGGCCUUCGGGUUGUAAACCGCUUUCGCCUGUGACGAAGCGUGAGUGACGGUAAUGGGUAAAGAAGCACCGGCUAACUACGUG
Molecule: ribosomal RNA, 468 nt
Filed under: uncultured bacterium
Lineage: Bacteria
Description: partial 16S ribosomal RNA
Rfam family: Bacterial small subunit ribosomal RNA
Source: RNAcentral